CGUACACUCCUGCGGGAGGCAGCAGUGGGGAAUAUUGGACAAUGGGCGCAAGCCUGCUCCAGCCAUGCCGCGUGAGUGAUGAAGGCCCUAGGGUUGUAAAGCUCUUUCACCGGUGAAGAUAAUGACGGUAACCGGAGAAGAAGCCCCGGCUAACUUCGUGCCAGCAGCCGCGGUAAUACGAAGGGGGCUAGCGUUGUUCGGAUUUACUGGGCGUAAAGCGCACGUAGGCGGACUAUUAAGUCAGGGGUGAAAUCCCGGGGCUCAACCCCGGAACUGCCUUUGAUACUGGUAGUCUUGAGUUCGAGAGAGGUGAGUGGAAUUCCGAGUGUAGAGGUGAAAUUCGUAGAUAUUCGGAGGAACACCAGUGGCGAAGGCGGCUCACUGGCUCGAUACUGACGCUGAGGUGCGAAAGCGUGGGGAGCAAACAGGAUUAGAUACCCCGGUAGUCCC
This 450-nucleotide ribosomal RNA is filed under the name uncultured organism. Its description in RNAcentral is "partial 16S ribosomal RNA". It matches the Rfam family "Bacterial small subunit ribosomal RNA", at positions 330 to 797 of the family's 1533-position model. The record is from RNAcentral.